Molecule: ribosomal RNA, 465 nt
Filed under: uncultured bacterium
Lineage: Bacteria
Description: partial 16S ribosomal RNA
Rfam family: Bacterial small subunit ribosomal RNA
Source: RNAcentral
GACGAACGCUGGCGGCGUGCUUAACACAUGCAAGUCGUACGGUAAGGCCCUUUCGGGGGUCCACGAGUGGCGAACGGGAGAGUAACACGUGAGUAACCUGCCCACAACUUUGGGAUAACGCUAGGAAACUGGUGCUAAUACUGUAUAUGUGCUUCUGCUGCAUGGUGGGGGUUGGAAAGCUCCGGCGGUUGUUGAUGGAGUCGCGGCCUAUCAGCUUGUUGGUGGGGUAGUGACCUACCAAGGCGGCGACGGGUAGCCGGACUGAGGUGCUGACCGGCCACAUUGAAACUGAGAGGAUGCCCAAGCGCCGCCACGAGACAGCAGGUGAGAAGAUUUCACAAUGGGCGCAAGCCGGAUGCAGAAACUCCGCUGGCGGGAUGACGGCCUUCGGGUUGAAAACCUCUUUCAGCAGGGACGAACCUUUUUGUAACGGUACCUGCACAAGAAUCACCGGCUAACUACGUG